UCUAAUUGAAUAAAGAAAAACAUGUAAACAAGAAAAUAAAUAAAUAUGGAUGGGCCUAUUACUCUGGUGGACAUGAUGCAUUUCAGAUAUUUACCAACAGUUUUAUAAUAAAUAGAACAUACAUCAAUUUAGGAGCCAGCUUUAAUGAAUUUGAGUGAAAUUGUGUUUUUCUUAUUUUUGCUUUAAAGAGAUGAUUCGUUAUCUAGAAAGCGAGAAGUAAAUUUAUCCUGGUUUUUACAUAUGCUGACAUCUUGGUCUCAUUACCAGAAGUUAAUGAAGGUGACUGAAGGUAAAUCCGACCCACUAGUGGAACUUAAAGCAAAAAUGAUUGGGGAAGUUGGUGAUAAAUCAUCAGCCGAUGAAAUUAAAAUGGUUCUAGUAGAUUCAAUAUUCAUGGUACUUGCAGCUAAGUCUUCACACGAUUCAACUUUUACAUGACGACAUGGUCACGGAUUGUCACCCACUGCAGUGAAUGUAAGGAGCACAUCCAUCCACGCUGAAUUUCUGAAUUUGAAACGCUACAGUCAUUCUUUUUGGUUAAGUACAGUUAUAGCCGAGUGUCUUGAAAAUGGCCCAUAUUUCUCAACUGCAACGCGUUGGAUGAAAUACUGGUUCGACACUGAAGUUUUACUAUUACUUUACGUAGCCAAAGUGGGACGAAUUUUUGUAUUAUUUGGUACUUGUUGUCACUAAACAGUAUGUUAUAUUAUGAUAGUGAGAUUUUUCUGGUGGAGACCUUUCAACCCCAGGAACUCAAAAUUCGGAGACUUGACAUAACCUGGUGAAGUGCACCCCCACCCUAGAAAUGCUAUGGACAUUUAAAUAAUUCUAAUUUUACAAAUUAAUGCCUUUAAUUGUGACAUUUUUCAACAGGUCUGCAAACUUCUAACAAUUUAAUAGCUACUAUAGGCCUACAGGUAUUCUAUAAAAUUGCGAUUUAGAUGUACCUAUGGUUAAGGAGCAAGACAGUUCAUUCUGAAUGAACAAAACAAAACAACAUAAUUUUCCUACUAAUGUUGCAUUUUAUUACCAUUAUUACAAAUGAUGUUCUUAUCUCAAUACUCCUGGUAAUGUGUAUGGUAACUUAACUCACUAGUUCCAAUUUGCAAUAAACUGUCACACUGUAAAUAAAAACCUUACGUGAAUGAUCCCUGAUUUCAGUUCUCGUAAGAAAA
This is a long non-coding RNA of Anneissia japonica, 1175 nucleotides long. RefSeq lists it as uncharacterized. The transcript has 2 exons. The record is from RefSeq and is a predicted model, not a curated record. Lineage: Eukaryota; Metazoa; Echinodermata; Crinoidea; Comatulida; Comatulidae.